GUUUGAUUCCUAGAAGAGACAGUUAAAUCUUUUCCAUGUUUAAGGCUCCUAUUUCACAGCUUUCAUUGCACAUUUCAAUAGACAGUGAUAUGUUCACAUAGGAUAAAUGUCAUGACAAAAUACCUGCCAAUAACAUGGCAAAAAAUAUACAAAAUUUCCCGAUAAACAGCAUUAAAAUUUAUCGAAACAGCAUAAGAACCUCCACAUUUCCCCCAAAUAUAAAAUUAACUUUUUAAUUGCUGUGACAGCUUAGUUGCUGCAAAAAAGGUUGAAAUCUCUCCAAAAAUGUUUUCACCUGGAAUGAAAUGUGACCUCAUUUUGUAACUCACUACAUAUUCAUCUUUAAAUCAAAACCAGCUCAAUAUCUUUAGUAAUAAAGAAAACAAAUCUGUACUUAAGACAAAUUUG
RNAcentral lists this long non-coding RNA (408 nucleotides) under Mytilus galloprovincialis (Mediterranean mussel). The record is from RNAcentral. Lineage: Eukaryota; Metazoa; Mollusca; Bivalvia; Mytilida; Mytilidae.